UGGGGAAUAUUGGACAAUGGGGGGAACCCUGAUCCAGCCAUGCCGCGUGUGUGAAGAAGGCCUUAUGGUUGUAAAGCACUUUAAGCGAGGAGGAGGCUACUAGUAUUAAUACUACUGGAUAGUGGACGUUACUCGCAGAAUAAGCACCGGCUAACUCUGUGCCAGCAGCCGCGGUAAUACAGAGGGUGCGAGCGUUAAUCGGAUUUACUGGGCGUAAAGCGUGCGUAGGCGGCCAUUUAAGUCAAAUGUGAAAUCCCCGAGCUUAACUUGGGAAUUGCAUUCGAUACUGGAUGGCUAGAGUAUGGGAGAGGAUGGUAGAAUUCCAGGUGUAGCGGUGAAAUGCGUAGAGAUCUGGAGGAAUACCGAUGGCGAAGGCAGCCAUCUGGCCUAAUACUGACGCUGAGGUACGAAAGCAUGGGGAGCAAACAGGAUUAGGAUACCCUGGUAGUCCAUGCCGUAAACGAUGUCUACUAGCCGUUGGGGCCUUUGAGGCUUUAGUGGCGCAGCUAACGCGAUAAGUAGACCGCCUGGGGAGU
Molecule: ribosomal RNA, 536 nt
Filed under: uncultured bacterium
Lineage: Bacteria
Description: partial 16S ribosomal RNA
Rfam family: Bacterial small subunit ribosomal RNA
Source: RNAcentral